Molecule: ribosomal RNA, 497 nt
Filed under: uncultured bacterium
Lineage: Bacteria
Description: partial 16S ribosomal RNA
Rfam family: Bacterial small subunit ribosomal RNA
Source: RNAcentral
GAUGAACGCUGGCGGCGUGCCUAACACAUGCAAGUCGAACGGCAACACGGUAAGAUCUUUCUCGUGCGGGUGGCGGUGGGCGGACGGGUGGUAAAUACAUCGUAAUCUACUUUUUCGUGGUGGAUAACGGAGAGAAAGUUACGCUAAUACCGCAUACGACGGACCGGUUGAAUCAUGGGAUCUUGAGAGCUUUCGCUUUUGAAUGAGACGGUGUCGUGGCGGCUUAGUUGGUUGGUGGGGUGACGGCCUACCAAGGCGACGAUGCGUAGCCGGUCUGAGAGGAUGAUCAGCCACACUGGAACUGAGACACGGUCCAGACUCCUACGGGAGGCAGCAGUGGGGAAUAUUGGACAAUGGGCGAAAGCCUGAUGCAGCAAUACCGCGUGGGUGAAGAAGGUCUUCGGGUUGUAAAGCUCUUUUGUUGGGAAAGAAAAGAAGCAGGUUAAUACACCGCUGUUCUGACGGUACCCAAAGAAUAAGCACCGGCUAACUUCGUG